This 594-nucleotide ribosomal RNA is filed under the name Claviradulomyces sp. VIC 42840. RNAcentral's name for it is "eukaryotic LSU rRNA". It matches the Rfam family "Eukaryotic large subunit ribosomal RNA", at positions 213 to 823 of the family's 3401-position model. RNAcentral also lists the same sequence under 1 other name. The record is from RNAcentral. Lineage: Eukaryota; Fungi; Ascomycota; Lecanoromycetes; Ostropales; Odontotremataceae.
UGAGAAUCCCGUAUGUGACUGGCCGCCAAACCCAUGUGAGAUCCUUUCGACGAGUCGAGUUGUUUGGGAAUGCAGCUCUAAAUGGGUGGUAAAUUUCAUCUAAAGCUAAAUAUUGGCCAGAGACCGAUAGCGCACAAGUAGAGUGAUCGAAAGAUGAAAAGCACUUUGGAAAGAGAGUUAAAAAGUAUGUGAAAUUGUUAAAAGGGAAGCGCUUGUAACCAGACUUGUUUGCAGUUGAUCAACCUUCCUUCGGGCUGGUGCACUCUUCUGUAUGCAGGCCAGCAUCAGUUUAGACGGUUGGAUAAAGACUUCAGGAACGUAGCUCUCUUCGGGGAGUGUUAUAGCCUGGGGUGUAAUACAGCCUGCCUGGACUGAGGACCGCGCUUUUGCUAGGAUGCUGGCGUAAUGGUUGCCAGCGACCCGUCUUGAAACACGGACCAAGGAGUCAACCAAUUGUGCGAGUGUUUGGGUGUUAAAACCCAUACGCGUAAUGAAAGUGAACGGAGGUAGGAGCCCUUACGGGUGCACUAUCGACCGAUCCUGAUGUUUUCGGAUGGAUUUGAGUAUGAGCAUCAUUGGGCUGGACCCGAAAGA